This 380-nucleotide ribosomal RNA is filed under the name uncultured bacterium. RNAcentral's name for it is "bacterial SSU rRNA". It matches the Rfam family "Bacterial small subunit ribosomal RNA", at positions 32 to 392 of the family's 1533-position model. The record is from RNAcentral.
AAUCAACGCUGGCGGCGUGCCUCAGACAUGCAAGUCGAACGCGAAAGUCCCCUUCGGGGGACAAGUAGAGUGGCGCACGGGUGAGUAACACGUAGGUAAUCUACCUUCGGAUGGGGAAUAACAACCGGAAACGGUUGCUAAUACCGCAUAAUGCAGCGGCACCUAAUGGUGACAGUUGUUAAAGCGGGGGAUUGAAAGACCUCGCGUCUGAAGAGGAGCCUGCGGCGGAUUAGCUUGUUGGAGGGUAACGGCCUACCAAGGCGACGAUCCGUAGCCGGCCUGAGAGGGCGGUCGGCCACACUGACACUGACAUACGGGUCAGACUCCUACAGGAGGCAGCAGUCGGGAAUUUUGGGCAAUGGGCGAAAGCCUGACCCAGC